UGUUUGGAGGAAAUCCUACAUACAGGGGCAGGUGUCACUUAAAAAAGGAGACACCUCAGCUUGGAGUCAUGUGCAACGCACAUGACCCAUUUAGCUAUGGAAUGGCUGUUAACCCUAACAGUGUUAGCCUCUUUCUUCUCAAACACACGUUCAGCCUCUUUCUUCUUCUCAAACACACCCACACAACCUCACGCCUCUCUCUCACAGCCUCAACCUUUGUUUUCUGAGCAAACUCAGACUGGCAAGAGAAUCCGGUACAGCUAUCCAGUACAGCCCUUCUCUCUCUCUCCUCAAACUCCUCAAACCCGUGUCUCAACCUGAGGUUUUGAGGUUCUGACCGGCGAGAGCUUGUGAGGCGGAAUGGACGGCGGCUAUAUGCAGCAACAGCCGCCGAUCUCACCGGACCAACUGGACAGCCCUCCUCUUCACCUGCUUCCCCCUUCGCUGAUUCCAACCCAUUUAGUUUCUCACUCAUCUAAUGCCGCUCCCAUAAAUUUGCCGCCAAGGACCACCGCUCCCACUGCUCCUACCACUCCAUCGUGUCUCAGCAUUCUCCCUGACAAUGAGAAAUGCAGUUAUUCUCAAUUUGUUCAGGAAGAAGCACAAGUAAAACCUAUUGAUGGUAGUCCAAACACUCCCAGUAAACACAAUAUGGAAAUUAAGGCACCGAUGAUUGGAAUGAAAUUUGAUUGUGAUGAUAGUGCAUAUGAGUUUUACAAACAAUAUGCUCAUAGAAUGGGCUUCAGUGUAAGGAAACAGUAUGUUAGGCGAGGAAGUGCUGGACAUGUUAAGAGGAGAACAUUUUGUUGUUCAAAAGAAGGUGAACGAGCUAUUGACAAACGUCGUGAACAGGUAUCUUUUCAUCACCCAAUUUCACAAAUUGGUUGUUUAGCACAAAUGACUUGUCAACUUCAAAAGGAUGGUAUGUUAGAAGUUGUUUCUUUUCAUGAACAACAUAAUCAUGAGUUUGCUCCUUCUCCAAUGAAACACAUGUUAAGAUCAAAUAGGAAAAUUACACUUGCCCAACAAGCUUUUGCGGAUGAUGCAGAAAAAUCUGGGGUAUCAAUAAAACAAACCAUAGAUUUGUUGAGCAUGCAAGUUGGUGGUUAUGAAAAUCUUGGGUUUUUGAAUGUUGACUAUAAAAAUCAUGUAAAUUCCAAGAGGAGAGAGGCUUUAAAGAGAGGAGAUGGUCGUGCUGUAAUGGAUCACUUUAGAAAGAUGCAAUUAGAAGAUCCAUCUUAUUUUUAUUCUAUACAACUUGAUGAUGAUAAUCAAAUUUUGAAUAUUUUUUGGGCUGAUUCUAGAUCUAUAGUUGAUUAUGGAUACUUUGGGGAUGUUGUAUGUUUUGACACCACUUAUCGAACAAAUUCAUAUGGUCGACCCUUUGCUCCAUUUAUUGGGGUUAAUCAUCAUAAACAAUCAAUUGUUUUUGGUGCAGCUUUACUUUAUGAUGAAACUAUAAUGUCAUUCAAGUGGUUGUUUGAAACUUUUUUGAGUGCAAUGUCAGGAAAACAACCAAAAACUAUAUUUACAGAUCAAUCUGCUGCAAUGGCUAAUGCAAUAGAAGAUGUGUUUCCUGAAUCAAAUCACCGUCUAUGUGUGUGGCAUAUUUAUCAGAAUGCUGCUAAGCGUCUACAUCAUAUAUUUAAUUCAUCAAACCAAUUUCGAAAUGAUUUUAGUAAUUGUGUGUAUGAUUUUGAAGAUGAAAAUGAAUGGAUGGUUGCUUGGAAUGACAUGCUUGAGACAUAUGAUCUAACUGAUAAUCCAUGGUUGCGUGAAAUGUUUGAUGUGAAAGAGAAAUGGUGUAUGGUAUACGGUAGACAUAUGUUCACUGCUGAUAUGAAAAGCACUCAACGCAGUGAGUCAAUGAAUAGUGUGCUAAAGAAAUACUUGAAACGAAAACAUGGUCUUUUGCAAUUUUUUGGACAUUACUCUAGAGUAUUGUUUGAUAAGCGAAGUCAAGAACUACAAGCAAAGUCCAAAAUGAGACAAACAACACCAGUUUUACUAUUUGAUUUUGAGAUGUUGAGACAUGCUGCAAAGUUGUACACUCCAGAAAUAUUUAAAAUGUUUCAAGAUGAAUAUGUGAAGAUUGUGGAUUGUACUAUUUACAAGGCUAGUAAAUCUGAUUCUAUCACAGAAUACAGAGUGAAAUAUCGAAACAAAACUCAAGAGCAUUUAGUCAAAUAUGAAGCCUCAACAACGACAGUCCAAUGCAGUUGCAUGAAGUUUAGUUUUUUGGGAAUUCUAUGUUCCCAUGCUUUGAAAGUUCUUGACAAGAAAAAUGUUAAGAGAAUUCCACCUCAUUAUGUAUUGAAAAGAUGGACACAAGAUGCAAAGGCUGGUUCUAUCAAGGACUAUCGUGGCAUUGAUGUUAAAGGUAGUGCUCGAGAGUCAGUGGGAAAGCGUCUUUCUCACUUGAGUCACAAAUGCCUUCAAAUUAACACAUUUGCAGCAGAGAGAGAGAUGAUGUAUGAACAUGUUGAUAAAUGUUUUGACAAAUUAUUGCAGGAUUUGCAAGAAAUGAGAAUUAAAUGUUGUUUGUCCUCUAUGGAGGGUGAGAUCCAUGGUGAAGUUGCUCCCAAGAAUGUUUCACAAGAUGACGGUGGAUUUGAGUCACAUGUGGACAUUUCUCAAGGCAUAUGUGGGAUCAAAACAAAACCUACUGUAGGUCGUCCAAGAGGAAGGUUGAAAAGUUCAUUAGAAAGGACAAAAAAAAAUCUCAAAGUAAGAAGGAUCAAUCCAAAAAGACUUGUGGAGCAAGACAAUUUCAAUCAUGUGGUGGCCUAAAUAGAGUUGAUUCCUCAGUUAAUAUUAAUUCUUACAAAGAACAUAGUAAUGUUGAACAACCAUCACAAUUAGUAGAUAACAUAACUCAGGAAUCUUUCAGUUGUAGUAAUUUGGUUGGACAAGACAAUGUUGUUGGGUUCAAUGGUUUGAAUCAGGAAUUUUUUGAUUGUGAAUUUUUGGUCGGACAAGAUCAUAUUGGGUUAUAUGGCUUGAAUCAGGCUUCAGUAGAUCCUGAUAUUGACAACCUUUGAAAAACACCAUAUUGGCUAUUUUCGUUGUGUUUUGCACAGUUUUUGGACAAUAUAUUGGCUGUUAUAUAACAUCUAGUGGACAGAACUUUGACAGUAUUUUUUGGACAGCACAUUUGACUUCGACAGAUUUUUGGAAA
Quercus robur (English oak) is the source of this 3178-nucleotide RNA transcript. It is a transcript of the gene named protein FAR1-RELATED SEQUENCE 5-like, with no coding region annotated. The transcript is spliced from 6 exons. Lineage: Eukaryota; Viridiplantae; Streptophyta; Magnoliopsida; Fagales; Fagaceae. The record is from RefSeq and is a predicted model, not a curated record.